RNAcentral lists this ribosomal RNA (450 nucleotides) under uncultured bacterium. Its description in RNAcentral is "bacterial SSU rRNA". It matches the Rfam family "Bacterial small subunit ribosomal RNA", at positions 29 to 526 of the family's 1533-position model. The record is from RNAcentral.
AACGAACGCUGGCGGCAGGCUUAACACAUGCAAGUCGAGCGCCCCGCAAGGGGAGCGGCAGACGGGUGAGUAACGCGUGGGAACCUACCCUGAACUACGGAAUAGCUCCGGGAAACUGGAAUUAAUACCGUAUGUGUCCUGAGGGACAAAGAUUCAUCGGUUCAGGAUGGGCCCGCGUCCGAUUAGCUAGUUGGUGGGGUAAGAGCUCACCAAGGCGACGAUCGGUAGCUGGUCUGAGAGGAUGAUCAGCCACAUUGGGACUGAGACACGGCCCAAACUCCUACGGGAGGCAGCAGUGGGGAAUAUUGGACAAUGGGCGCAAGCCUGAUCCAGCCAUGCCGCGUGAGUGAUGAAGGUCUUAGGAUUGUAAAGCUCUUUCGCUCGCGACGAUAAUGACGGUAGCGAGAGAAGAAGCCCCGGCCAACUUCGUGCCAGCAGCCGCCGUAAGAC